GCGCCUUGUGCCCCGUCGGACCAACGUGGACCUCGGGGCAGUACCCGCAGACUCUGACCCUGUACAUCCUCAUCAGCUUCUUGGCUCCCGCUCUCAUCUCUUCCCACGCUUGUAGAGUCUCUUCCGCUAGGGAGACUGUUUCUUCUUCGUUGGAAGGUGGAGUGAUCUCUGAGGGAGGUAGCUCGGUUAACAACGGCUCUGGAGGAAAGUGAGGCUCUGGAUCAGGCAGUUCGGUUUCAUCUGCGUCUACGAACUCGCUUUUGCCGAUGCGGAUUAUCGGUUUUCUUCUCCUUUUCGUUGGAAACUCAGGGAUCUCAACGCCUCCUUGGAUGCAGAGCUCGACUACGGCGGGGACUCGAGGGAUGGUGAAUCUCUCAUCGUGACGGAUGCGCUUGCCGAGACGGUCGUAGAGGUGGUAAGCUUCAAGAGGGACAAUGACGUCUUCGAGGACAGAGUUUGUCCAUUCAUGAUGACCUUUCCUUUGAGAAGCACUAGGACCUUUACACGACUUAAACGGAUGACCGUAAGGUCCAACGUGGAUCUCAUUACACCACCUAAGAGACAAAACAAGAACAACACAUAACCAAACAUAACAAGAAGAGGAAGAAGAAGAAGAAGAAGAGGAGUUAUUAAUUUAUUAUUACCCACAAGCGUUAACACGAACUACUUUCAUGAGGCGGUGGAGAUUGUUGAUCAGUCUGAUUCUCGCGUUGUACACUUUGUAAGCAAGAGGGACGAGAAGAGACAUGAGCCUGAUAAGAAUAGUUAUAGGAACAGAACAGAAGUGAACUUGCUAAAAGAAGAAGAAGGAGAAGACAGUUACUUACUUAAAAAGCUAAUCCAUGGCUUUAGACUGAUUUCAAACGUGACGAUGAUGAUGAGGGAUAACGCUUUGCAGUUUGAGGAAAAAAGUAAGAAGAAGAAGAAGAAGACACGAAAGUGGGUGUGAAUGUGAAAGCGAGCAGACCAGACAAGUGGUAUCUUGCCUUUACCAAAGAUAAAUAAAACUAAAGCAAUGAAGAAGAAAGGGAAUCUGGUAAAUGACGUUUUUACCCUUGAUUAUUUCAAAAAGUAGAUUUGUUCUUUUUAAAAAGUCUCAAAAGUGAUGUUUCAAACACAAGAUGAGACACCGUCACUAGUCAACUGGUUGGAACUUAAAAUAAUGUGAUUUUCAAUUAAAUAAUUAUACUAUGAAAAAAGGACAAACAUGUUCAAGGGAUCCAAAACUUCAAGGUCUGAAGCUGAAACUGAACAAUUGUGUUGGAUUUGUUUGUCCUACUUAUUAUCUAUCAAGUAUUUAAGUUUAUACUUAUGCCACAUGUACCUAGGUGCAUAUUAUCUACUGCAAAGAUGUCAUUCAAUGGUUCUUAAGUUAGAUUGUGGUAAUAGACAAGCAGUGAUGCUAUAAACAUCAAAUCAAACGACCAUUUCAGCUUCUUGAACACUAGAAGGUAUCCCAACCUCCAGUCUCAUAGUAGCCCUAUACUGUUCAGGCACUCCAGCACCAGCCUGCGCACAUAUCUCCACAACAGCAGGUGCUUGCCCGUAGAAGCUUCUCAGCUCCCUCUGCAUCGGCGGCCCAUUCACAUCAGGAACAUGCCAAACGUAUCUCGGCGGUAUCAAGUCAUCAAGCACCGCAGACUGCCAACCGUGCUGACCAUUCCUCUGCUGGUGCUUGAACGCGCCGCAGUUCUGCGCCUUGUGCCCCGUCGGACCAACGUGGACCUCGGGGCAGUACCCGCAGACUCUGACCCUGUACAUCCUCAUCAGCUUCUUGGCUCCCGCUCUCAUCUCUUCCCACGCUUGUAGAGUCUCUUCCGCUAGGGAGACUGUUUCUUCUUCGUUGGAAGGUGGAGUGAUCUCUGAGGGAGGUAGCUCGGUUAACAACGGCUCUGGAGGAAAGUGAGGCUCUGGAUCAGGCAGUUCGGUUUCAUCUGCGUCUACGAACUCGCUUUUGCCGAUGCGGAUUAUCGGUUUUCUUCUCCUUUUCGUUGGAAACUCAGGGAUCUCAACGCC
This 2016-nucleotide long non-coding RNA is filed under the name Brassica napus (rape). RNAcentral's name for it is "long non-coding RNA (BNAP_LNC001196)". Lineage: Eukaryota; Viridiplantae; Streptophyta; Magnoliopsida; Brassicales; Brassicaceae. The record is from RNAcentral.